Molecule: ribosomal RNA, 1408 nt
Filed under: uncultured bacterium
Lineage: Bacteria
Description: bacterial SSU rRNA
Rfam family: Bacterial small subunit ribosomal RNA
Source: RNAcentral
AGUUUGAUCAUGGCUCAGAACGUACGCUGGCGGCACGCCUAAUACAUGCAAGUCGAACGAAGUAGCAAUACUUAGUGGCAGACGGGUGAGUAACAUGUGGGUAUCUUCCCUUUGGUGAGGAAUAACACGAGGAAACUUGUGCUAAUACCUCAUAAGUCUUUACAGAGAAAGCUUNNGCGCCAUUGGAUGAGCCUGCACUUGAUUAGUUUGUUGGUGGGGUAAUGGCCUACCAAGACAAUGAUCAAUAGCUGAUUUGAGAGGAUGAUCAGCCACAUUGGGACUGAGACACGGCCCAAACUCCUACGGGAGGCAGCAGUAGGGAAUCUUGCACAAUGGAGGAAACUCUGAUGCAGCGAUGCCGCGUGAGUGAAGAAGGCCUUUGGGUUGUAAAGCUCUUUCGUCGGGGAAGAAAAUGACUGUACCCGAAUAAGAAGGUCCGGCUAACUUCGUGCCAGCAGCCGCGGUAAUACGAAGGGACCUAGCGUAGUUCGGAAUUACUGGGCUUAAAGAGUUCGUAGGUGGUUAAAAAAGUUGGUGGUGAAAUCCCAGAGCUUAACUCUGGAACUGCCAUCAAAACUUUUUAGCUAGAGUAUGAUAGAGGAAAGCAGAAUUUCUAGUGUAGAGGUGAAAUUCGUAGAUAUUAGAAAGAAUACCAAUUGCGAAGGCAGCUUUCUGGAUCAUUACUGACACUGAGGAACGAAAGCAUGGGUAGCGAAGAGGAUUAGAUACCCUCGUAGUCCAUGCCGUAAACGAUGUGUGUUAGACGUUGGAAAUUUAUUUUUCAGUGUCGCAGCGAAAGCAAUAAACACACCGCCUGGGGAGUACGACCGCAAGGUUAAAACUCAAAUGAAUUGACGGGGACCCGCACAAGUAGUGGAGCAUGUGGUUUAAUUCGAAGAUACGCGCAGAACCUUACCAACACUUGACAUGUUCGUCGCGACUCUAAGAGAUUAGAGUUUUCGGUUCGGCCGGACGAAACACAGGUGCUGCAUGGCUGUCGUCAGCUCGUGUCGUGAGAUGUUGGGUUAAGUCCCGCAACGAGCGCAACCCUUACUUUUAGUUGCCAUCAUUUAGUUGGGCACUCUGAAAGAACUGCCAGUGAUAAGCUGGAGGAAGGUGGGGAUGACGUCAAGUCCUCAUGGCCCUUACGUGUUGGGCUACACACGUGCUACAAUGGUAUCUACAACAGGAAGCAAAACAGCGAUGUUAAGCAAAUCCCGAAAAGAUACCUCAGUUCGGAUUGCACUCUGCAACUCGAGUGCAUGAAGCUGGAAUUACUAGUAAUCGUGGAUCAGCGUGCCACGGUGAAUACGUUCCCGGGUCUUGUACACACCGCCCGUCACACCAUGGGAGUUGGUUCUACCUUAAGGCAAGGUUUAAAACCCUUGACCACGGUAUAGUCAGCGAU